This 531-nucleotide ribosomal RNA is filed under the name uncultured Enterobacterales bacterium. RNAcentral's name for it is "bacterial SSU rRNA". It matches the Rfam family "Bacterial small subunit ribosomal RNA", at positions 8 to 528 of the family's 1533-position model. Lineage: Bacteria; Pseudomonadati; Pseudomonadota; Gammaproteobacteria; Enterobacterales. The record is from RNAcentral.
AGAGUUUGAUCCUGGCUCAGAUUGAACGCUGGCGGCAGGCCUAACACAUGCAAGUCGAACGGUAGCACAGAGGAGCUUGCUCCUUGGGUGACGAGUGGCGGACGGGUGAGUAAUGUCUGGGAAACUGCCCGAUGGAGGGGGAUAACUACUGGAAACGGUAGCUAAUACCGCAUAACGUCGCAAGACCAAAGAGGGGGACCUUCGGGCCUCUUGCCAUCGGAUGUGCCCAGAUGGGAUUAGCUAGUAGGUGGGGUAACGGCUCACCUAGGCGACGAUCCCUAGCUGGUCUGAGAGGAUGACCAGCCACACUGGAACUGAGACACGGUCCAGACUCCUACGGGAGGCAGCAGUGGGGAAUAUUGCACAAUGGGCGCAAGCCUGAUGCAGCCAUGCCGCGUGUAUGAAGAAGGCCUUCGGGUCGUAAAGUACUUUCAGCGAGGAGGAAGGCGUUGUGGUUAAUAACCGCAACGAUUGACGUUACUCGCAGAAGAAGCACCGGCUAACUACGUGCCAGCCGCCGCGGUAAAAGGG